AUGGCGCUGCUGAGCCCGCGUGUUCCGCGGCUGCCCCUCGCCGCCCACUCCGCCGGCGCCGGCGCCGGAUCCCUCCGGUGCUGCGUCCGGGUUGCUGCCUCCGCUGCGCGAUGCCAAGUGACGGCGUCGGGAAGCGUGGCGGCGGGCUCCUCGUCGUCGUCGGAGCUGGAGGCCAUCCGGUGGGGCAGCGCCAAGCUGCAGGGAGCUCGCGAGGAGAUGGAGGACGAGGUCGUCCUCCGCCCUGACUCCCUCCUCCACGGCUUCUCCUUCGCCGCCGUCCUCGACGGCCACGCCGGUUUCUCCACCGUCCAGUUCCUGAGGGACGAGUUGUUCAAGGAAUGCGCAGCCGCGUUGGACGGGGGCGCGGUGCUUAACACCAAGAAUCUCGAGGCCAUCACGGACUCGAUCAGGCGUGCCUUUGCCACCAUGGACGCCAACCUCUCCACCUGGCUUCAGCAAAUGGAUAAGGAAGACGACUCUGGUGCCACGGCCACGGCCUUGUUUCUGAGGAACGAUGUCCUUGUUGUCUCGCACAUUGGCGACUCCUGCUUGCAGGUCAUAUCGCGUGGUGGAAGACCUCAGUCUCUGACAAAUUUUCAUCGACCAUACGGGAACAACAAAACAUCCCUUGAAGAGGUCAAGCGGAUUAGGGCAGCAGGUGGAUGGAUUCGUGAUGGACGCGUAUGUGGAGACAUUUCUGUAUCUCGUGCUUUUGGAGACAUAAGAUUUAAAACACGGAAGAAUGAGAUGCUAGUAAAAGGAGUUAAAGAAGGAAGAUGGACUGAAAAAUUCGUUUCACGAAUAAAUUUUAAAGGGGAUCUAAUAAUCUCUUCACCUGACGUAUCUCUGGUGGAGCUUGGACCGGAUGUGGAAUUUGUUUUGGUAGCAACCGAUGGUCUUUGGGAUUACAUUAAAAGCACUGAAGCUGUAGCUUUUGUCAGAGAUCAACUAUGUCAACAUGGAGAUGUCCAGCGGGCCUGUGAGGCGCUUGGGGAGAAAGCUCUGGAUCGGCGGUCACAAGACAAUAUUAGCAUAGUCAUAGCUGACUUGGGGAGGACAAACUGGCAGGAGUUGCCCGUUCCAAGGCCAAACGUGUUGUUGGAGCUAAGUCAAGCAGUUGCGACUGUAGGGGCUGUAUCAGUAGGAAUUUGGAUUUCAUCGCUUCUCACUUUGCAAUAG
Molecule: ribosomal RNA, 1179 nt
Filed under: Triticum aestivum (bread wheat)
Lineage: Eukaryota; Viridiplantae; Streptophyta; Magnoliopsida; Poales; Poaceae
Description: partial small subunit ribosomal RNA
Source: RNAcentral